ACACUCUCUUUCCUCACUUUUUCUUUCUCUCUCUCUCUCUCUUUCUCUCUCUCUUUUCUUCCUUUACUUCGUAACCCACCUUUUCUCUCUCUCAAACUCUAGCUUUUCGCACAAAACUCUCUGAUCUACUCACUCCAAAUCAUCCCCUCACCUUGCUCCUUUGAGUUAGAUUGUAGAGCUUGUUGAGGGCCAUUCUAAUCUAAGCAGAUCGUUGUUUUGCCACAGUCGACUUUUGGGGUUUUUCCCUCCUCUAGUUGAGGUAUGAACGUUCUUUGUCGCUGGUUCUUCGCGAAUGGAGGGUCACAAGGCAGGUUCUGCGUGGGUUUGCUACAAUCACAACCAGGAGCAGAUUGCCCAGAGUGAAAAACCACUUCACCUUCCAUCCCCCUUCCUUUCCGAAGCUAGAGCAUGUUUGGAUGCCUUACAGUGGGCUUGGGAACAGGGGAUGCGGUGCAUAUCUAUCUUUACAAACUCAAAAAGUGUCCGUCAAUGUUCUUAAUGGCAUAUCUUAUCCGAAUUGGACUGUUGCGACUGUUAUCAUGGAUAUAAAGAAUUGUGGUAGUUCAUUUCUUUUUGUAGAUAUAUCCAAGGUGCACAGGUCUAUUGUCCAACCUGCACACAAAACCUGCUAAAAAAAAAAGAAAAGGUUCCCUAAUUUCUAAUACAUCUGUUUAUCUUUGUUCUCAAAAAAAUAAAAAAUAUAAAAAGAUUUUGUUUCCUGUCAAA
Camellia sinensis is the source of this 726-nucleotide long non-coding RNA. RefSeq lists it as uncharacterized. Lineage: Eukaryota; Viridiplantae; Streptophyta; Magnoliopsida; Ericales; Theaceae. The record is from RefSeq and is a predicted model, not a curated record.